CGGGAAGCCAUAUGGCGACAUAGAGCGGAACCCGAAAACCUGUCUCAGUUCGGAUUGGAGUCUGCAACCCGACUCCAUGAAGCUGGAUUCGCUAGUAAUCGCGCAUCAGCCACGGCGCGGUGAAUACGUUCCCGGGCCUUGUACACACCGCCCGUCAAGCCAUGGAAGCCGGGAGUGCCUGAAGUGCGUGAGCGCAAGCAGCGCCCUAAGGUAAAACCGGUGACUGGGGCUAAGUCGUAACAAGGUAAC
RNAcentral lists this ribosomal RNA (249 nucleotides) under uncultured bacterium. RNAcentral's name for it is "partial 16S ribosomal RNA". It matches the Rfam family "Bacterial small subunit ribosomal RNA", at positions 1243 to 1500 of the family's 1533-position model. The record is from RNAcentral.